UGGGCAGAUCACUUGAGGUCAGGAGUUUGACACCACCCUGGCCAACAUGGCAAAACUAUUAGUUGUUAGGCCAUAGAAUAUAAAUGCUAAGAGUGUGGGCUCUAGACAGCCCAGAUUCAAAUCCCUGCUCUGCCUCUUACUAGAUGUGCAACCUCAGGCAAACUUCGUAAACUCCCUGUGCCUCAGUAUCUCCAUCUAUGCAAUGGAGAUAAUGCAAGCCCUAGCUUCAUAAAACCGUUGUGCAGAUUAAAAGAUUGAGU
RNAcentral lists this long non-coding RNA (260 nucleotides) under Homo sapiens (human). Its description in RNAcentral is "non-protein coding lnc-CD24-3:6". Lineage: Eukaryota; Metazoa; Chordata; Mammalia; Primates; Hominidae. The record is from RNAcentral.